This 433-nucleotide ribosomal RNA is filed under the name uncultured bacterium. RNAcentral's name for it is "bacterial SSU rRNA". It matches the Rfam family "Bacterial small subunit ribosomal RNA", at positions 29 to 507 of the family's 1533-position model. The record is from RNAcentral.
AACGAACGCUGGCGGCAGGCCUAACACAUGCAAGUCGAGCGAACCCUUCGGGGUUAGCGGCGGACGGGUUAGUAACGCGUGGGAAUAUACCCUUUGGUACGGAAUAGCCUCGGGAAACUGAGAGUAAUACCGUAUGUGCCCUUCGGGGGAAAGAUUUAUCGCCAAAGGAUUAGCCCGCGUUGGAUUAGAUAGUUGGUGGGGUAAUGGCCUACCAAGUCUACGAUCCAUAGCUGGUUUGAGAGGAUGAUCAGCAACACUGGAACUGAGACACGGCCCAGACUCCUACGGGAGGCAGCAGUGGGGAAUCUUAGACAAUGGGCGCAAGCCUGAUCUAGCCAUGCCGCGUGGACGAUGAAGGCCUUAGGGUUGUAAAGUCCUUUCAGAUGGGAAGAUAAUGACGGUACCAUCAGAAGAAGCCCCGGCUAACUCCGUG